Molecule: transfer RNA, 74 nt
Filed under: Nephromyces sp. ex Molgula occidentalis
Lineage: Eukaryota; Apicomplexa; Aconoidasida; Nephromycida
Description: tRNA-Glu
Rfam family: tRNA
About the family: Transfer RNA (tRNA) molecules are approximately 80 nucleotides in length. Their secondary structure includes four short double-helical elements and three loops (D, anti-codon, and T loops). Further hydrogen bonds mediate the characteristic L-shaped molecular structure. tRNAs have two regions of fundamental functional importance: the anti-codon, which is responsible for specific mRNA codon recognition, and the 3' end, to which the tRNAs corresponding amino acid is attached (by aminoacyl-tRNA synthetases). tRNAs cope with the degeneracy of the genetic code in two manners: having more than one tRNA (with a specific anti-codon) for a particular amino acid; and 'wobble' base-pairing, i.e. permitting non-standard base-pairing at the 3rd anti-codon position.
Source: RNAcentral
GUGAAUAUAGUUCAAUUAGGUCGAAUAGAAUUUUACCAAAAUUAAGAUUGCGCGUUCAAAUCGCGUUAUUCACA